This 434-nucleotide ribosomal RNA is filed under the name Bacillus cereus. Its description in RNAcentral is "bacterial SSU rRNA". It matches the Rfam family "Bacterial small subunit ribosomal RNA", at positions 75 to 496 of the family's 1533-position model. Lineage: Bacteria; Bacillati; Bacillota; Bacilli; Caryophanales; Bacillaceae. The record is from RNAcentral.
UGGACUUGCUCUCAUGAUCUACGGCGGACGGGUGAGUACACGUGGGUACCUGCCCAUAAGACUGGGAUAACUCCGGGAAACCGGGGCUAAUACCGGAUAAUAUUUUGAACUGCAUGGUUCGAAAUUGAAAGGCGGCUUCGGCUGUCACUUAUGGAUGGACCCGCGUCGCAUUAGCUAGUUGGUGAGGUAACGGCUCACCAAGGCAACGAUGCGUAGCCGACCUGAGAGGGUGAUCGGCCACACUGGGACUGAGACACGGCCCAGACUCCUACGGGAGGCAGCAGUAGGGAAUCUUCCGCAAUGGACGAAAGUCUGACGGAGCAACGCCGCGUGAGUGAUGAAGGCUUUCGGGUCGUAAAACUCUGUUGUUAGGGAAGAACAAGUGCUAGUUGAAUAAGCUGGCACCUUGACGGUACCUAACCAGAAAGCCACGA